RNAcentral lists this ribosomal RNA (254 nucleotides) under uncultured bacterium. RNAcentral describes it as "partial 16S ribosomal RNA". It matches the Rfam family "Bacterial small subunit ribosomal RNA", at positions 107 to 354 of the family's 1533-position model. The record is from RNAcentral.
UGAGUAACACGUGAGUGACCUGCCUUUUAGACUGGAACAACUUACCGAAAGGUGAGCUAAUGCCGGAUGAGUUAUAUAAGUGCAUGUUUAUAUAGGAAAAGUUGGGGAGACCUGACGCUGAAAGAUGGACUCGCGUCCCAUUAGCUAGUUGGUAGGGUAAUGGCCUACCAAGGCGACGAUGGGUAGCCGGCCUGAGAGGGUGGCCGGCCACACUGGGACUGAGACGCGGCCCAGACUCCUACGGGAGGCAGCAG